This 639-nucleotide ribosomal RNA is filed under the name uncultured Lachnospiraceae bacterium. RNAcentral's name for it is "bacterial SSU rRNA". It matches the Rfam family "Bacterial small subunit ribosomal RNA", at positions 76 to 724 of the family's 1533-position model. The record is from RNAcentral. Lineage: Bacteria; Bacillati; Bacillota; Clostridia; Lachnospirales; Lachnospiraceae.
UUCUUCGGAUUGAAGCAACUGUGACUGAGCGGCGGACGGGUGAGUAACGCGUGGGUAACCUACCUCAUACAGGGGGAUAACAGUUGGAAACGGCUGCUAAUACCGCAUAAGCGCACAGUACCGCAUGGUACCGUGUGAAAAACUCCGGUGGUAUGAGAUGGACCCGCGUCUGAUUAGCUAGUUGGUGGGGUAACGGCCUACCAAGGCGACGAUCAGUAGCCGACCUGAGAGGGUGACCGGCCACAUUGGGACUGAGACACGGCCCAAACUCCUACGGGAGGCAGCAGUGGGGAAUAUUGCACAAUGGGGGAAACCCUGAUGCAGCGACGCCGCGUGAGCGAUGAAGUAUUUCGGUAUGUAAAGCUCUAUCAGCAGGGAAGAAAAUGACGGUACCUGACUAAGAAGCCCCGGCUAACUACGUGCCAGCAGCCGCGGUAAUACGUAGGGGGCAAGCGUUAUCCGGAUUUACUGGGUGUAAAGGGAGCGUAGACGGCAUGGCAAGCCAGAUGUGAAAGCCCGGGGCUCAACCCCGGGACUGCAUUUGGAACUGUCAGGCUAGAGUGUCGGAGAGGAAAGCGGAAUUCCUAGUGUAGCGGUGAAAUGCGUAGAUAUUAGGAGGAACACCAGUGGCGAAGGCGG